Long non-coding RNA from Strigops habroptila (Kakapo), 3499 nucleotides. The record is from Ensembl. Lineage: Eukaryota; Metazoa; Chordata; Aves; Psittaciformes; Psittacidae.
CCCCAGGCCCCGUCCUGUCCCCGCUGUGGGACACGGCCACCUCUUCCCUCGCAGGGUGACCCGGGCGCUGUGCAUCUUGUCCUGCCCCUGCCCUCUGAGGUUUUUCACCCGCCGGUGUUGUCCCGGUCUCGGGGGGAAGCCCUGUCGCACCGGGCUGGCAAAUGGAAGGAUGGCAACACUGAGGAUACUGCAGCCCCCCGGGGCAGAACGGGACAGCGCCAGGCUCCAGCCCCGAAGCGAGAUGUGAAACCUGGGCUGGCCUCGCACCGGCCUCCGCAGCCAAAGCCCGACUCGGCUUCCCCGCGGCGCCCUUCACCCCGGCACAAGGGCACAUCCCAAACACAGACGGAUCCCUCCGAGCUUCCCGCUUCCCCAAAGGCGCUUCCCUUCCUCGCGCUUUCCCUGCAGCACCUUCCAGGGAAGGUUCCUGGAAGCUCUCCCGAGCAGCAGGGCAGGGAACGGGCUGUGCCCGACGCACCCGGGCAGCCUUCCCCGCACCAGACACACCCCACUCCCCGCUGGAUGAUCCCACCCGAGGCGCAGCACAGCCCCCGGCCCCGGCCCCAGGAGCAUGCCUGCAUUGGAAAAUAUUUUAUUUGAAUAGUAAAUAAUUAUACAGUUGAAACAGUUCUAUCGAAGCACUCUAUAAAUAGCUAACAGUUAAGAAAAUAAUGUGUGUAGAAAAAGAGAUUGCAUCUAAAAGUAAGAGCUGUCGGUUGCACAGGAUCGAAUGGUCAAGGUCGUGUGUUUUCUAGGUAUAAAAGUUAAAACCUUUAUAGCAGAUCCCUUGAAGAAAAGAAAAAAAAAAAAAUAUCCUAAAACGCACAGUGAAAUGGCAGGCGGGGACAAAACCAGCGUCAGAGCAUCUGCGAUCAAAUAAUAUCAAUCUUCAUAAUUAAUAUAAAUAAAUAACGAAUAAAUAACAUAAUUACUCAAACCAACAUAUACAGAUAGUCAACUCGUGAGCUACCUCGGGAAGGGCAAACCGAACGGAAACAGAAGGUUGGCAUGUCACAGUUAAGGCAGUUUCUACAGCAUCUUCUGGAGACCAUCAACAGCGGCGUCAAGGCAUCGGCGGCUGCGGGAACGGGAACCCUCGGGCGGCUCCUCCGGCGGGUCCGGGGUCCCCCGACGGGCGCCGAGGCGAACGAGCGGCCGAACGGAGGGAGGGACCCGGCGGCGGGCGCGAAGCCGGGCUCCAGCGGUUCACCAGCCGGGUUAAAGCUAAUCGUGUGGCGGCCCCGGGCCGUGAGGGGCAGUGCGGGAAGGCACGGGCGGCUCUAGCAGGCGGGCCGCAGCGGCACCUGGAGCAGGAUGACCUGCCUGUUCUCCGACGGGUGGCACUUGUUGAUGUGCCGGGUGAGGCCGGGCGAGCUGUAGAAGGUGGCCGGGCAGUACUUGCAGGGGAAGACCUGCGCGGCGUGCAGCAGGCGGAGGUGCCGCUCCUGGCUGCUCUUGCUGGGGAAGGUCUCCCCGCACACCGGGCACAGGCGGCACUCGGCGGGCGGCGGCGCGGGCGGCUCCUCGGCGGCGGGCUCAGGGGCCGGGGCCGGUGCGGCUCCCGGCGCGGGUGCCGGUGGCGGGUGGCCCAGCAGGUGCUUGCGCAGGUAGGCCUGCCGGCGGAACCGCUUGGCGCAGCGGGGGCACUCGAAGAGCCCCUCCUCGGAGCCCGCCUCCGAGCCGCCGCCGGGGCUCGGCGUGUCCCGCUCGCUGCCGCUGCCGCCUCCCGCCUCCUUCGGCGGCUCCUCCGGCGGCGCUCGGCCCGGCUCGGGGCCGGUCUUGGCGGCGGGCGGGCGCGGCUUGUGCCAGCGGCGGUGCGAGGCGAGGUUGGCAGGGCAGGAGAAGACCUUGUCGCACUCGGGGCAGCGGUACUCCACCCGCACGAUGCGGGAGCAGCGGUGCUGCGCCAGCGCGAAGGGGUCCCCGUACUCCUCCUUGCAGAGCUGGCAGAUGAACUCGCCCAGCGGGCGGGCGCAGCCGCCCCGUGCCCGGACCGGCGCCUCCACCGGGCCCUCCUUGAUGCGCAGCCCCAGCACGGGCGACGUGGUCACCUCGUCCUCGAAGGCUGGCGUUUCCUUUGUACGCGUUGGUGGGUCAGUCACAGAAGGGAAGCCUGUGCUUCCAACAGAACUACGACCAGCCCCGCAGUGUGUUCUCUUCGGAAGAUGACUGGUUUGAAGCCUGGGGUUUACAAACCCCUUCUUCUGUAGCUGCAAGUAUGAAAGGUGUGCCGUUACCUGGAGGCACCAUCGGGAAGCAGAUCUGAGCAGUACUUGCUCCACGUUGGGAUGCUGCAGCCAUGUCCUAUCCCAAGUGUCCUCCAGAGAUAUCCUCUGUUAUUUCAGCACUGGAAUUUGGCAACGUUUAGAUACUUGAUGAGAUAGGAGCAGUUAUUGUGCGGCUGGUUCUCACUGAACUGCUCUUUAAACUCUCUGAACUCUGUGCUCUUUAAAACUGAUGUAAAAACAUCGCUCUCGGCUCUUUCUAUAGGAAAUUAGGGCUGACCCUGAAAUGAGGUUUAUUGCAUUUUUUAACACAGUUCUACUUCAAUGCAAUGCAUUAUGAAAAAACAAUUAAAAGGAAAUUAAGUGUGACGCACCAAACCAGCAAACAGGCUGUGUGCAGAGCUAUGAGUGCUUCAGUCCCUGGUUUAUGGAUUCUGAGGCCAGUCACUUGCAAUGGUUUGCAUCAUUAUCAGUGUGAAUCAGCAAGGUCCUGCUGCAAGCGAGUGUGGCCGGCACAGCUGAGCAGCCUUCACCUGCUGAUUGGGACGUGGGGUUUCUUAGUAACCCAGCUCUUCAUUAGCAAGUUACCAGCUCCUUAAAACUGCAGUGCUGUAGAGAAAUCUAAAGCCGUCUAAGGGUCCUGCCAUUUGUACUGCCUGGCUCUGGAAGUACAGCUCUGCCAGUGCACCUCGGGUCAGCAUCUAAUUCUGCUAGCGAAAGAGCUACCAGAUAUCCCUUCCCGUGCUCCUCUUCCCUCAUCCUGUCUGCCUCCUCAUGAAAAGCACACAGAUUUCCCUCUAAUGAGGCCACAAAGCGCACUGAGCAGCAAAGCCCCUCAGCCGCGCUCGUACCUGCCACAUUUCCCUUCUGCUUCCUUUCAUCCCUGCAGAAAAGAAGUCUCACCGCCUGCACGAUGAACAAAAGCCUUAGGUGGAGUCCCUAAGUGAUCACAGCGUGCUAAUGGGGUGGGAGCUGGCAAAUUCCAGCCAGCAGACAUCCGAGUGUUUCUCUUAAUGAACAAUCCCGCUCCAUUUCUGAAUGGCUGGCUUAACAACAGCUUUUCUAUGCAGCAUUCAUGUUUAAAUGUGACAUGCAUUUCAUGUUUAAAUAACCUCUGAUUACCCAGGCUGUAAGUAAUAAAUUUGUAUCUUUACCUUCCCCUUUUAAAGCAAUUAAACUAUCAAAUAUUCUUCUUUUUCUUCUUUGUUCUAUUGUGAGAUGUUAUUAGAGUUGUGUCAAUACAGUCCGGUGUGGUGCUUUCUGCUUAAACUCUC